Molecule: ribosomal RNA, 984 nt
Filed under: human gut metagenome
Description: bacterial LSU rRNA
Rfam family: Bacterial large subunit ribosomal RNA
Source: RNAcentral
ACGGUCCUAAGGUAGCGAAAUUCCUUGUCGGGUAAGUUCCGACCCGCACGAAUGGUGUAACGAUCUGGGCACUGUCUCAACUACCCACCCGGCGAAAUUGUAGUACCGGUGAAGAUGCCGGUUACCUGCGGCAAGACGGAAAGACCCCAUGGAGCUUUACUGUAGCCUGAUAUUGGGUUUCGGAAAUCUAUGUACAGGAUAGGCGGGAGACUGGGAAGUAUGAGCGUCAGCUUAUACGGAGUCGUUGUUGGGAUACCGCCCUUAGGUUUCUGGAAUUCUAACCUGCGACCGUGAAUCCGGUCGGGGGACAUUGUCAGGUGGGCAGUUUGACUGGGGCGGUCGCCUCCGAAAAGGUAACGGAGGCGCUCAAAGGUUGGCUCAGCACGGACGGAAACCGUGCCUCAGAGUGUAAACGCAAAAGCCAGCCUAACUGCGAGGAUGACGGUCCGAGCAGUAACGAAAGUUGGAGUUAGUGAUCCGGCGGUAUGUGAAUGGAAAUGCCGUCGCUCAACGGAUAAAAGCUACCCUGGGGAUAACAGGCUGAUCUCCCCCAAGAGUCCACAUCGACGGGGAGGUUUGGCACCUCGAUGUCGGCUCAUCACAUCCUGGGGCUGUAUUCGGUCCCAAGGGUUCGGCUGUUCGCCGAUUAAAGUGGUACGCGAGCUGGGUUCAGAACGUCGCGAGACAGUUCGGUCCCUAUCUGUCGUGGGCGCAGGAUAUUUGAGGAGCUCUGUCCUUAGUACGAGAGGACCGGGAUGGACGUACCUCUGGUGCACCAGUUGUCAUGCCAAUGGCACGGCUGGGCAGCUACGUACGGAACGGAUAAACGCUGAAAGCAUCUAAGCGUGAAGCCGACUCCAAGAUUAGAUAUCCCAUUGCAUAAGCAAGUAAGACCCCUUGAGGACUACGAGGUUGAUAGGCUGCGUGUGUAAGUGUCGUGAGGCAUUUAGCUUGGCAGUACUAAUAGGUCGAGGGCUUGACCAC